This 486-nucleotide unclassified non-coding RNA is filed under the name plant metagenome. RNAcentral's name for it is "partial contains small subunit ribosomal RNA and internal transcribed spacer 1". The stretch from base 1 to 46 matches the Rfam family "Eukaryotic small subunit ribosomal RNA", at positions 1786 to 1831 of the family's 1831-position model. The record is from RNAcentral.
AAGUCGUAACAAGGUUUCCGUAGGUGAACCUGCGGAAGGAUCAUUAACGAGUUUUUAAAGGGGGGCCUGAGCUGGCUUGAUAAAUAAGAGAUGGUGGCUAGCAAGUUUGUUGAAUAUCACAAACUGUUAGUCACGCGCGACAUACAGUAUAAUACGAUUUUCGUGUGGUUCCAUUGAGCAUAUGGUGGCUUUUGCAUUUAUCGAUAUGCAUAAGCGGACGUGCAAUAUUAUAAACACAAGUAAUCGCGCGCGGGACAAUAGUAAUGAAUAUCUCAUAAAAAGGCAUGUGCUCAGCCUCGCUCUAAUCCACUUAACCCCCUGUGCACUGUUCGGAGUGUUGCAAGCUGAGACUUGAUUAGAUCUUGGUCGCGUUUCUAAUGCGGCUGGGUUCUAAGAUAGUCAAGGCUUGUCCUCCGGUCCAUAUACAAACUCUUAUAAUGUCUUGUAGAAUGUGUUAGCCUCUCGUUAGGCGAAACUUAAAUACAA